CCUACGGGUGGCAGCAGUAGGGAAUUUUGCGCAAUGGGGGAAACCCUGACGCAGCAACGCCGCGUGAUCGAUGAAGCCCUUCGGGGUGUAAAGAUCUGUCAGUGGGGACGAAACCUGACGGUACCUGAUUAAGAAGCCCCGGCUAACUACGUGCCAGCAGCCGCGGUAAUACGUAGGGGGCAAGCGUUAUCCGGAUUUACUGGGUGUAAAGGGAGCGCAGACGGCAGUGCAAGUCUGGAGUGAAAGCCCGGGGCCCAACCCCGGAACUGCUCUGGAAACUGUGCGGCUAGAGUACUGGAGGGGCAGGCGGAAUUCCUAGUGUAGCGGUGAAAUGCGUAGAUAUUAGGAGGAACACCAGUGGCGAAGGCGGCCUGCUGGACAGUAACUGACGUUGAGGCUCGAAAGCGUGGGGAGCAAACAGGAUUAGAUACCCCAGUAGUC
Molecule: ribosomal RNA, 441 nt
Filed under: uncultured bacterium
Lineage: Bacteria
Description: partial 16S ribosomal RNA
Rfam family: Bacterial small subunit ribosomal RNA
Source: RNAcentral